Molecule: ribosomal RNA, 254 nt
Filed under: uncultured bacterium
Lineage: Bacteria
Description: partial 16S ribosomal RNA
Rfam family: Bacterial small subunit ribosomal RNA
Source: RNAcentral
UACGGGGGGAGCAAGCGUUGUUCGGAUUUACUGGGCGUAAAGGGCGCGUAGGCGGCCAGCACAAGUCAGUUGUGAAAUCUCCGAGCUUAACUCGGAAAAGUCAACUGAUACUGUGCGGCUAGAGUGCGGAAGGGGCAACUGGAAUUCUUGGUGUAGCGGUGAAAUGCGUAGAUAUCAAGAGGAACACCUGCGGCGAAGGCGGGUUGCUGGACCGACACUGACGCUGAUGCGCGAAAGCUAGGGGAGCGAACGGG